RNAcentral lists this ribosomal RNA (468 nucleotides) under uncultured bacterium. RNAcentral describes it as "partial 16S ribosomal RNA". It matches the Rfam family "Bacterial small subunit ribosomal RNA", at positions 28 to 507 of the family's 1533-position model. The record is from RNAcentral.
GACGAACGCUGGCGGCGUGCUUAACACAUGCAAGUCGAACGGAAAGGCGCUGCUUUUGUGGGGUGCUCGAGUGGCGAACGGGUGAGUAACACGUGAGUAACCUGCCCUUGACUUUGGGAUAACUUCAGGAAACUGGGGCUAAUACCGGAUAGGAGCUCCUGCUGCAUGGUGGGGGUUGGAAAGUUUCGGCGGUUGGGGAUGGACUCGCGGCUUAUCAGCUUGUUGGUGGGGUAGUGGCUUACCAAGGCUUUGACGGGUAGCCGGCCUGAGAGGGUGACCGGCCACAUGGGGACUGAGAGACGGCCCAGAAUCCAACGGGAGGCAGCAGUGGGGAAUAUUGCACAAUGGGCGGAAGCCUGAUACAGCAACGCCGCGUGCGGGAUGACGGCCUUCGGGUUGUAAACCGCUUUCGCAUGUGACGAAGCGGGAGUGACGGUAAUGGGUAAAGAAGCACCGGCUAACUACGUG